Molecule: long non-coding RNA, 1668 nt
Organism: Prinia subflava (tawny-flanked prinia)
Lineage: Eukaryota; Metazoa; Chordata; Aves; Passeriformes; Cisticolidae
Exons: 3
Source: RefSeq, a predicted model, not a curated record
AGAAACCUCAGGAGAACUGUACACCCUUCAAAUCUGUGUUGAUGUGUUUUAAAGGCAUGAUAUGGAGCACAUCCACUCUCAGUAGGUUGCAGAAAGGGGCCAUAAAAUCAUAACACAUCUUUGGAAGGAAAGAAGAGUUUCCCAUCAGCCUGGCACGAGCACACAUACAGUGGCCUGCAAAGGUUUGGCUGCCUGUGUUCCAGGUCUGUCAUGAUACAGUGCAAUGUAAUCUGGGAUCAGAGUGCUGUGAGAAGAGCUGUCUGCCAAAGAGCUGGGAGAAGCCAGCUGGGGCCUCCUCAAUUCCACUGGGAGCCAUGGCACAGAGCUGCCCUUGUCCUCAGUCCUCGUUUGGGGUGGGCUGUAAGGGUGUUUGUGCCUGACUGUGGACGUGGCUGUGGCUGAUCCUGAGUUCCUGGCACAUCCCUGUGGGCUCACUGCUCUCCUGGCUGUAUGUGGUCACUGUCACCAGAGCUGCUCUGCCCUUCUUGCUUGGUCGCUGUGUCUGUGUGUCCCUUUGCCUGAGGUCCCUGCUGUCCCUGCUGCCAGCCCUGCUCACCUUUGCUCCUCAGGCUCCCCAAGCUCCUCUGCCCAGCUCCUGGCAUGGACCACAGCACCCCCGUGUGUCUGAGACUCCUGGAGAGGAUGGGCAGUGAUAUGAGAGACUUUAUCGCUACGGCAAUAAGGAAGAUGUGGCAUUAGCUUUACCUCCCUUCAUCUGCCUGCAAAGCCAAAGCGAAAUUCAGGUCUGCGGGACGAGCCCGGAUGCCGGGAGAGCAGCCGGCAGGAGGAGCUCGCCGGACACGUCGCUGGAUCAUUCCCAGGCAGUCACAGACGCAGGUUUCAAGGGCAUCGCUUUAGAUCUGCCUUCUUGGGACUUUCUUGCAGACAAACCACCAGCAGCAGAAGACAGAGGAAACUUCGUGGUAUUGCAACCGAGCAGCCCCAGAGAUUUAUUUUGAAGUUUUUUUAGACCUUUCUCAGCUUGUUUCUCCCACUAUAAUGAUACUUAAGGUAUUCAGGAAGGUAGUGAGGAUGCCUUUUAGUCCCUAGAAGUGGCCAAGUGCUUUAUUUUCCAAGAAAGCUAGUGUAAGAUUUCUUGGACAGCAUCCUCAUCACGGAGUAAAGAAUUCCAAAACAAUGUUUGUCUUAGCAUAGGAAGAUCUCCUCCUGGAGUCCUCCUGACCUCUGAGGGGACCUGCAAGCAAAAAUGUAUCAGUACCACUCUGAUUCUUGGCUUGACAAAGUUAUUCAAACAGUUCUGUCUCCUGUUAUACAGUUCACCUUUGUCUCCUGUGAGAAGCGAGCACAGAGGACAGUAGUAGCUCUUUUGCACAUCAGUGUUCUCAUUAGUUAGGUGCAAAGUGUCACUCUGCUUCUUAGGGACAAUCCUUCAGCCCUAAAUUUCAUGAUCUCUGCAUCACCUUUAAAAAUAAUUAAGGAUUUUUUUAUUUUUUUUUUAAUUGGUGAAAUCUUUACUUUUGUAAGUCUAUCCCUCAUUUAGUUACUAAAUGGGAAUUGGGUGCCUUCUGGUCCUGAAUGUUACUGUAAUAAUUAUUUUGAUUCUGAAUGUGCCAGAAACUAUUCUAAUGCAUAUCAGUAUAAAUUAAGUCAAUAGAGAUUCUUCAAAUUUAUCCUGGUGUUCAAGAGAAUGGAAUUCAUGCACUUCAA